This 64-nucleotide transfer RNA is filed under the name Thelepus plagiostoma. Its description in RNAcentral is "tRNA-Leu". It matches the Rfam family "tRNA". Rfam says of the family: Transfer RNA (tRNA) molecules are approximately 80 nucleotides in length. Their secondary structure includes four short double-helical elements and three loops (D, anti-codon, and T loops). The record is from RNAcentral. Lineage: Eukaryota; Metazoa; Annelida; Polychaeta; Terebellida; Terebellidae.
UUCAAAGUGGCAGAAUAAUGCACUAGAUUUAAGCUCUAUAUAUGAAGUAUAACUUCCUUUGAAA